AGGCCUUCAAUGAGCAUAUCUGUCUUUUAAAAGGGUGUUCAGAAUAAAGAGAGGGUGAGAAGAGAAGAAGGAGAAUGUACACCAAAAGGUCGCGGGCAUGCUGGAGCCUAUCCCAGCUGUCAUCGGGCAGGAGGCGGGAUACAACUGAACUGGUUGCCAGC
Long non-coding RNA from Phycodurus eques (leafy seadragon), 161 nucleotides. RefSeq lists it as uncharacterized. The record is from RefSeq and is a predicted model, not a curated record. NCBI's taxonomy places the organism in Eukaryota, Metazoa, Chordata, Actinopteri, Syngnathiformes, Syngnathidae. The transcript is spliced from 3 exons.